CAGAGCGAUAAGGAUGAGUUCAC
This 23-nucleotide non-coding RNA is filed under the name Arabidopsis thaliana (thale cress). The record is from RNAcentral. Lineage: Eukaryota; Viridiplantae; Streptophyta; Magnoliopsida; Brassicales; Brassicaceae.